AUUCAUUUUUGUAUUUUACACUCCUGACAGCUGAUGCCCGGCUGCAGCUUGCUCCUUGGGAGCCCGUGUGCCGUGUGGUUUCCGAGUGAGGCCUCUUUCUGACACUGCCUACUGAUUGUGCUGCAUAAAGAAUGCUAUCACCUCGAGGGGUCAUGUUAAUGAGCGACUCCUUUAUCAAUAAUAGAUAGAACUCGUCAGUGCCAGCCUUCAAAUUUGAGCCUAUCUGCAAACUGUCUGCAUUUGACCAGGGAGUUUCUCUUGCUCUCGUGUCUUACGGUGACUGCUACACAGCACAGACCCUGGCUGUUCUGCGUGUGGGGAGAGAUGAACGCCUGCUUUGUUCUCCAGAGGCAGGCCAGGAAAGCUGCUGUUGCAGGAAGCAGACGGAUGGACUGACAUUUACAACUUAUGCUUUUCUGGUGGAGAAACUGAG
This 433-nucleotide long non-coding RNA is filed under the name Mus spicilegus (steppe mouse). RNAcentral's name for it is "lncRNA (ENSMSIG00000003538.1)". Lineage: Eukaryota; Metazoa; Chordata; Mammalia; Rodentia; Muridae. The record is from RNAcentral.